AGGGUUUGAUUCUGGCUCAGGAUGAACGCUGGCGGCAUGCCUAAGACAUGCAAGUCGAACGAGAUGGCCCAGUGAAGGUUGAGUGCUUGCACAAGACUGAAUCUGGAUUCCCAUCUAGUGGCAGACGGGUGAGUAACACGUGGGUGACCUACCUUUUCGUUGGGGAUAACAGUUGGAAACGAUUGCUAAUACCGAAUAAAAUGUAAGAGUCAAUUUUACAUUGAAAGGAGCCUUUAAAGCUUUGCGAUUAGAUGGGCCUGCGGCGUAUUAACUAGUUGGUGAGGUAAUGGCUUACCAAGGUGACGAUGCGUAGCCGAACUGAGAGGUUGAUCGGCCACAUUGGGACUGAGACACGGCCCAA
Molecule: ribosomal RNA, 361 nt
Filed under: uncultured bacterium
Lineage: Bacteria
Description: bacterial SSU rRNA
Rfam family: Bacterial small subunit ribosomal RNA
Source: RNAcentral